UAUUUUUGUGUACCAUCUAGUUACAGUGAAUGGGCCUUGGCUGUUGGAUGUUCCAGCUACAUCUGUCUGCAUAGCUGUGAAAAAUAUAAGGUUCAGCUGCGCUUCCCAGGCCUACAGUAUGUAUUAUCCCAGCUAUCUGUGGGAUACAGAACUAGCAAACUUCCACAAGCAGUAUGACUGGACAUUCAGCCCAGAGGCAUUACGCUGUGAUGUAGAGCCAUCUGCACCAGACCUGAGAGUGAGGGUCUUAUUGGCACUACUGUGUCUGGUGGGAUACAUCAUGGUGUUUCUGGAGUUCUACACUAGGAGCAUCCUCAGAAAAGUGUCUGCAUCCUUCUUCAAAAAGCAACCCACUCCAACUCGCAAUACCGCCCAAACAGAUCCACAGAUGACGCAAUCUCCAUUGCACUCCACACUGCAGUCUACCACCUGGACAAG
Salvelinus sp. IW2-2015 is the source of this 438-nucleotide non-coding RNA. Lineage: Eukaryota; Metazoa; Chordata; Actinopteri; Salmoniformes; Salmonidae. The record is from RefSeq and is a predicted model, not a curated record.